GAAUUCGCCCUUAGAGUUUGAUCCUGGCUCAGGACGAACGCUGGCGGCACGCUUAACACAUGCAAGUCGAACGAGAGAAGAGAAGCUUGCUUUUCUGAUCUAGUGGCGGACGGGUGAGUAACACGUGAGCAAUCUGCCUUUCAGAGGGGGAUACCGAUUGGAAACGAUCGUUAAUACCGCAUAACAUAAUUGAACCGCAUGAUUUGAUUAUCAAAGAUUUAUCGCUGAAAGAUGAGCUCGCGUCUGAUUAGCUAGUUGGUAAGGUAACGGCUUACCAAGGCGACGAUCAGUAGCCGGACUGAGAGGUUGAUCGGCCACAUUGGGACUGAGACACGGCCCAGACUCCUACGGGAGGCAGCAGUGGGGAAUAUUGCACAAUGGAGGAAACUCUGAUGCAGCGAUGCCGCGUGAGGGAAGAAGGUUUUAGGAUUGUAAACCUCUGUCUUUGGGGACGAAAAAUGACGGUACCCAAGGAGGAAGCUCCGGCUAACUACGUGCCAGCAGCCGCGGUAAUACGUAGGGAGCGAGCGUUGUCCGGAAUUACUGGGUGUAAAGGGAGCGUAGGCGGGAUCGCAAGUCAGAUGUGAAAACUAUGGGCUUAACCCAUAAACUGCAUUUGAAACUGUGGUUCUUGAGUGAAGUAGAGGUAAGCGGAAUUCCUAGUGUAGCGGUGAAAUGCGUAGAUAUUAGGAGGAACAUCAGUGGCGAAGGCGGCUUACUGGGCUUUAACUGACGCUGAGGCUCGAAAGCGUGGGGAGCAAACAGGAUUAGAUACCCUGGUAGUCCACGCCGUAAACGAUGAUUACUAGGUGUGGGGGGACUGACCCCUUCCGUGCCGCAGCAAACGCAAUAAGUAAUCCACCUGGGGAGUACGACCGCGAGGUUGAAACUCAAAGGAAUUGACGGGGGCCCGCACAAGCAGUGGAGUAUGUGGAUUAAUUCGAAGCAACGCGAAGAACCUUACCAGGUCUUGACAUCGUAUGCAUAGCUCAGAGAUGAGUGAAAUCUCUUCGGAGACAUAUAGACAGGUGGUGCAUGGUUGUCGUCAGCUCGUGUCGUGAGAUGUUGGGUUAAGUCCCGCAACGAGCGCAACCCUUACUGUUAGUUGCUACGCAAGAGCACUCUAGCAGGACUGCCGUUGACAAAACGGAGGAAGGUGGGGAUGACGUCAAAUCAUCAUGCCCCUUAUGACCUGGGCCUCACACGUACUACAAUGGCUGUCAACAGAGGGAUGCAAAGCCGCGAGGUGGAGCGAACCCCUAAAAGCAGUCUUAGUUCGGAUUGUAGGCUGCAACCCGCCUACAUGAAGUCGGAAUUGCUAGUAAUCGCAGAUCAGCAUGCUGCGGUGAAUACGUUCCCGGGCCUUGUACUCACCGCCCGUCA
Molecule: ribosomal RNA, 1383 nt
Filed under: uncultured bacterium
Lineage: Bacteria
Description: bacterial SSU rRNA
Rfam family: Bacterial small subunit ribosomal RNA
Source: RNAcentral